RNAcentral lists this ribosomal RNA (1728 nucleotides) under Triticum aestivum (bread wheat). Its description in RNAcentral is "partial small subunit ribosomal RNA". Lineage: Eukaryota; Viridiplantae; Streptophyta; Magnoliopsida; Poales; Poaceae. The record is from RNAcentral.
CAAGCUUCAAAUCCACCGUCGCUCUCGCCCUCGCCCUCGCUCCUAGAGGGCGUCACCGCUGAAGGGGACACCGCGUUGCAUGUGGUGGCCACCAAUGGAGAUGGCGCCAGAUACCUGAGUUGUGCCAGCUUCGUCCACGGAAAGGCCAGGCACCUCCUCUACAAGGUCAACAGCCACGGCGACACUCCCCUCCACUGCGCCGCCAGGGCCGGGAGAUCUUCCGUGGUCUCCCACCUCGUCGCCCUAGUUCAAGGCGAUGACGACGGUGCCGGACACCGGCUCAGGGAGCUCGUGAGGACGGAGAAUGGGUGCAAUCAGACGGCCCUGCACGAGGCUGUCCGCAUUGGGAGCGACCACAUCGUUGAGCUGCUAAUGGCGGCCGACUCGGAAUUGGCUUGUUUUCCCAAGGACGGCGCCACUUCGCCGUUGUACCUCGCCGUCUUGCAUGAUCGGCCCGACAUUGCACAAACACUGUAUGAGAAGAGCGGUGGGCAUCUCUCGUAUUCUGGACCCGAUGGGCAAAAUGCAUUGCAUGCUGCUGCUCUUCGUAGCCAAGCCAUGACAGAAAUGCUACUGGAAUGGAACAUUGGCCUUACAGCGCAAAAGGACCGAAAUGGGAGCACGCUCCUUCACUUUGCAACAUCAAUUCUACACGCAAGAGCUAACCCAACUCCGAUAUAUCAGUCAGAUGGUCAGGGACUAUUCCCUAUACACAUUGCUGCUUCCAUAGGUGUGAACAAGGCCAUUGCCAAAUUUUUAGACAAGGGAAGAACUUUCCUUCAUGUCGCUGUCGAAAAGAAGAAAUGGAACACAGUCGCACUUGGUUGCACUCCAUCGUUAUCAUGGAUUUUGAAUAUGCAAGACAAUGAAGGAAAUACUGCACUACACCUAAGUGUAAUGCUUGGGUAUCAGGACAUCUUCUGUUUGCUCCUGGAGAAUCCUAAAGUGCGGCUAAAUCUAACAAAUAAAAAGGGGGAAACUCCUCUAGAUCUAUCACAGAGUAAGAUUCGCGCUGGAUGUUUUUGUGCAUGGAGCCCCAGAUUUGUGAUGAAUGCUGCUUUAAUAUACUGUCACGCUAAACAUGGCAAUCGCCGAUUGGAUCACUUUGAAGAACAAUACAUUCAAGCAGAAGAUGAAGAGAAAGAAUCAGACAAACUGACAGCUUUGACUCAAACAUUGGGCAUUGGGUCAGUGCUAAUGGCAACUGUGGCAUUUACUGCAACUUUCACUCCACCAGGGGAUUACAGUGACAAUGGCACACCGAAUCUUUCUAGGAGGUAUGUCUUUGAUGCAUGCAUCGCAGCCAACUCGCUGGCAUUCGGGUGCUCUGGUUUAACUACUAUCAACCUCAUGUACUCUGGGACAGCUAUCGUCGACGUGCCUUUGCGCAGCAAACACUUCGACGUAGCUGUAGUCUUCGCAUUUUGUUCGGUCACAAGUUUGGCUACGGCCUUUGUGCUAGGCCUAUAUGUGGUGUUGGACCCAUUUGCCCAUAUGACUUCAAUUGCAGUGUGUGUGGUGGCUUCUCUUUUGUGUCUGUGUGGAUACAUAGACCCCCUGCAAGGACAAGCUGUAGCUAGAGCUUUAUUUCGUCGAAUGGGUUAUCCAGCACUGGUGAUAUCCGCACGCAUUCUCAUCAUCCGGACAACGAUGGUGUUUUGGCCCUUGAUAGCAAGCUUCAUUUGGGCAGCAAUCUCAGGAAAAGAUCGUCACAAGAAAAUGACCUGA